CCGGACACCCUGAGGAUUGACAGGCGAGAGUACUACUAUACUUUAGUAUACUCGAUAUAUAUGUAAGUCCUUUCAUGAUUGUGUGAUAGGUGGUGCAUGGCCGUUCUUAGUUCGUGGAGUGAUCUGUCUGCUUAAUUGCGUUUCAGAUAUUAAAAGGUAAGCUUACUAUAUUAGCGAGGCUUAUGUCACUAUUAUAGUGUCUAGGCUAAGCAGGCUACCUUAUGAAAGCAACGAACGUGACCUCAACUCAAUGUUGUCUCUAUUAUAUAAGAGAGUAUACUUUGAGGACUGCCAGGGCUGUCAACCCGGAGGAAGGAUGAGGCAAUAACAGGUCUGUGAUGCCCUUAGAUGUUCCGGGCUGCACACGUGCUACAAUGAUUGUUGCAGAAAGUAUCUGCUUUAUACUACAAAGACACUAUACUUUAGUAUUGUUGUCUAUAUAGACUUUAUGUCUAUACUAACCUGCCUCGAAAGUACGGCAGGCAAUCAAUUCCAAGUAACAAUCUCUUAUAUGUGUAAGCGCAAGUCAAAAGGGAGUUAUGACUAUACUUUACUGUAUGGUGCACUCUUCCGCGCUCCAAUUGAAUUCGUGGUCGGGACAGACCAUUGUGCAAUUGUUGGUCUCGGUCUCAACUAGGAAUGCCUUGUACGGGUCUUUGGUUCAACAAACCACCCGGAAUACGUCCCUGCCCUUUGUACACACCGCCCGUCGCUCUUACCGAUGGACUAUUCUGUGAGUUAGAGGGACUGGCUAUAUAUAGUCUUUGUACUAUUGGCUAUGGAAACUCCUACGAACAGUGUGGUCUAAAGGAAAGAGAAGUCGUAACAAGGCAUC
RNAcentral lists this ribosomal RNA (835 nucleotides) under Allogromiina sp. Its description in RNAcentral is "SSU rRNA". It matches the Rfam family "Eukaryotic small subunit ribosomal RNA", at positions 1224 to 1803 of the family's 1831-position model. The record is from RNAcentral. Lineage: Eukaryota; Foraminifera; Allogromiidae.